CCUACGGGAGGCAGCAGUGGGGAAUAUUGCGCAAUGGGCGAAAGCCUGACGCAGCGACGCCGCGUGUGGGAUGACGGCCUUCGGGUUGUAAACCACUGUCGCGAGGGACGAAGCUCUGACGGUACCUCGAAAGGAAGCACCGGCUAACUCUGUGCCAGCAGCCGCGGUAAUACAGAGGGUGCGAGCGUUGUCCGGAAUCACUGGGCGUAAAGGGCGCGUAGGUGGCCUGAUAAGUAGGGGGUGAAAUCUCGCGGCUCAACUGCGAGGCUGCCUCCUAAACUGUCGGGCUCGAGCAGAGUAGAGGCAGGUGGAAUUCCCGGUGUAGCGGUGGAAUGCGUAGAGAUCGGGAAGAACAUCGGUGGCGAAGGCGGCCUGCUGGGCUCUUGCUGACACUGAGGCGCGACAGCGUGGGGAGCAAACAGGAUUAGAUACCCUGGUAGUCCACGCCGUAAACGAUGGGUACUAGGCGCCGGGGGAGCGACCCCUUCGGUGCCGUCGCUAACGCAAUAAGUACCCCGCCUGGGGAGUACGGCCGCAAGGCNGAACUAAUAGAUAGACGCGUGAGAGUGCGACGACGACACGAGGGAGAGG
RNAcentral lists this ribosomal RNA (591 nucleotides) under uncultured bacterium. RNAcentral's name for it is "bacterial SSU rRNA". It matches the Rfam family "Bacterial small subunit ribosomal RNA", at positions 338 to 944 of the family's 1533-position model. The record is from RNAcentral.